Molecule: ribosomal RNA, 407 nt
Filed under: Lithodes turritus
Lineage: Eukaryota; Metazoa; Arthropoda; Malacostraca; Decapoda; Lithodidae
Description: partial 16S large subunit ribosomal RNA
Rfam family: Bacterial large subunit ribosomal RNA
Source: RNAcentral
UUAAAUUAAAGAGCCGCAGUAUUUUGACUGUGCGAAGGUAGCAUAAUAAAUUGUCUUUUAAAUAAAGGCUUGAAUGAAAGGUUGGACAAAGUAUCAUCUGUUUCUUAAAUAUUUAUUGAAUUUGACUUUUAAGUGAAAAGGCUUAAAUAAAUCAAAAAGACGAUAAGACCCUAUAAAUCGUUACGCUGGGGCGGCGUAGAUAUAUAAAUAAACUGUCUAUAAUUUAGAUACAAUAAUCAUUGAAUUGAUCCUUAAAUAGAUUAAAAGAUUAAGAUACUUUAGGGAUAACAGCGUUAUUUUUUUUGAGAGUUCUUAUCGAAGAAAAAGUUUGCGACCUCGAUGUUGAAUUAAAGUAUCUCUAUGGUGCAGCCGCUAUAAGAGAGAGUCUGUUCGACUUUUAAUACUUU